RNAcentral lists this ribosomal RNA (699 nucleotides) under uncultured bacterium. RNAcentral describes it as "bacterial SSU rRNA". It matches the Rfam family "Bacterial small subunit ribosomal RNA", at positions 221 to 916 of the family's 1533-position model. The record is from RNAcentral.
ACGGAUGGAUCUGCGGUGCAUUAGUUAGUUGGCGAGGUAACAGCUCACCAAGACGAUGAUGCAUAGCCGGCCUGAGAGGGCGAUCGGCCACACUGGGACUGAGACACGGCCCAGACUCCUGCGGGAGGCAGCAGUAGGGAAUUUUCGUCAAUGGGCGCAAGCCUGAACGAGCAAUGCCGCGUGAGCGAAGAAGGUCUUCGGAUCGUAAAACUCUGUUGCGGGGGAAAAAGGAAGGGAAGAGGAAAUGCUUUUCUUUUGAUGGUACCCCGCCAGAAAGUCACGGCUAACUACGUGCCAGCAGCCGCGGUAAUACGUAGGUGGCAAGCGUUAUCCGGAAUGAUUGGGCGUAAAGGGUGCGCAGGCUGCGCGUCAAGUCUGAAGUGAAAGGUACGGGCUUAACCGGUACAGGCUUUGGAAACUGGCACGCUAGAGGACAGGAGAGGGCGGUGGAACUCCAUGUGUAGCGGUAAAAUGCGUAGAUAUAUGGAAGAACACCAGUUGCGAAGGCGACCGCCUGGACUGUUGCUGACGCUCAGGCACGAAAGCGUGGGGAGCAAAUAGGAUUAGAUACCCUAGUAGUCCACGCCCUAAACGAUGAGGAGCAGGUGUCGGAGGGAGGACCCCGGUGCCGAAGCUAACGCAGUGACUCCUCCGCCUGGGGAGUAUGCACGCAAGUGUGAAACUCAAAGGAAUUGACGG